CUUUGAGUUAUUCUACUUUGUGUUUUUUUUUUUUUUUUAAUUUAUUAUUUUCUUUCAAUACUUUAUACCCUUUAAGCUACAUGGAAAGGAAUUACUCACUAUUGACAAUAUCCAUGCAGCAAACAUUUGUUUUAGCCCGUAUCUGGAACUGUCUCAUGUUUCAAUCAAGCUGGUGAGCGGACUACAAAUCACCUGUAUGCAGAGAGCAGCACAAAAGGGACUCAGGAAGGACACACCUGCCUUCCACUGAAAAUGUUGCUCUGAUUUAUUCACAAAUGGAGCAGAAAUACUUCUAACACGUCUAAGUCCCAGAAAGACCUUGUCCGUUCUGUAAUCCAUCAGUGUCCUCAGAACAGUGAUGAAGAUCAUGCACAUGACUGCUAUAUUAUGUGCAAGAAGGCACCUAAGAAGAUGACAGAUAUAACUUCAUCACGAGGUCAUUUGCCUUAUGUGAUGAAUUGAAUUCUCUUUUGGUUCCAGGUCUCAUCUUUUGUCCUCUGUGAACUUGAGUAAACAAAAUUGUCAGUUGCUUCCCAGAACAUAUUUGUCAGAUUUCUGUUCUGUUUUUCUUUUUCUUUUUUUUUUUUUUUCCCCAGUCUCCCCUUUUUGCUUCAGAGGCGAACUGACAUCAAUGGAUGCUGUGAAGUUGUAUUUCUACUGUGCUGUGCUGCUUCUUAUAAUAAUACCAGUGCCUAGGAUUUGGCAGGCCUGGUAAAACACAAGAGAUACACAGAGUGAGGAAGAUCUGGGUUCAUACUGUCUGGAUACCUUGGGAAAAAUCACUGAGUGUGGGAAAUUAGGAAUUUAUUUUCUACCAAACUUCAAAUCACUAAGUAAAUAUCUGCAAGAAAGGUAGAAGAAUUCUGCAGACUUAAAAUUCCAAGUGGUACUCAGUCUGGAAGAGUAAGCAAAGCAGCUCUAACAGCCACUGAAGACAAAGAAAAACAAGACAACUAAUUUGGUCAGAGAGGUUAUAUGUGACCUUUUGGAGUCCUCUGGGAAGCCCUGGCUCAGAGCACGUGGAAAUAUAGCUUUCUUUUGAAAGAUGAAGAACAGGAGAAAUUAGUUCAACAAUGUCUUUGAAGUAAGACCUGGAAUUUAUCAUAGAUGAAGUCUGAAAUGCAACUUUCAUCUGUGUAUGUUCAGCCAAUGACUGAAGUGCCCAGUACCCCUCCCUACCUGCUAGUACCCUAGAGAGCAAAUUAGGAGUGGAAGCAGUAGCCAUGAUAAAAUUGAUGUUUAAAAAGAAUAAUGACCACUUUGUGGCUCUUGGUGCACAUAUGGCUCACAAGCAGAUGAAUUGUGGCUCUCAGACUUUGCCUAUGAAUUUUCCAGGAGUUCACUUGUCCUUCAGGGGAAAGGAAACACUUCAGAGCAAUUUCUUGGGUCUUUUAAAAAAAAUAGCAGGAAAAAAGCCAGAAUAUUUUCCCUGAGGAAUGCUCCGAAUUGCUGAGAGGUGUCUCCCAGUGGCCAGUGACACGGGAUUUCUAUAGCCACAUGAAAAUGCUGAUAUUGAGGGAGUAAGCUGUUUCACAAGAUGCGAGAUUACUGACUCCUCAUGCAAGCAAGGACCAUGGAAAAAACAUGGACUGAGUCAUGAUUUGCACCCGUCUGACUGUAUUGACUGUUUCACUGUGCACUCAGGAUCAAAGCAGCCAGGUGUCAGCCAGCAGCUACCUUAGCUUCAGAGGCAGAAGAAAUGCUGAAAUGCAUCACAGACACUCUUCCUUCUGACUGUGAGAUGAGCUGUAAUCCUGAGAGUAAGACCAGCUACGAGGCUGUGGUUCAAAGUCAAUUUAUAAAACCCAGAAACAUAUUCCAUUCCCAGCGUGACACUAAUGGAAUAUCUCAGUAAUGCUGACAAAUGGGUAAUAGCCCAUCCAGAGGCUGAAUUGCCAGGCAAAGAUCUCUUACCAUACCUAGACAACUCAUCUGAUACAAUGCUGAAUUAAAAUCAAAGACUUACAUUGAUUUUCUAGAAGGAGAAAAGCUAGGUAAAGAUGGAUUUCCCACCCAAUACCAAGGAGGAGCACAGUCACUUCUUCACCAUGGAUUCUAUUAUCUCUUCUUGCCUGAAGAGCUUAGAUCUAUUCAACUGUGAAAUAACUUGUCCCCAUGUUAUGCAACCUUGAUAAUUCUCUGUUUGGCGUUACUCACAGGGUAGGUGCACCACAUCUAAAGGUGGGAGCACCACAUCUAAAAAGGAAGGCAUGGAUGAGCUAUGGAAGAACUGGCUGUCACCACUGUAACCCCUUCCCUGGAUGAGCAUUAGAUGUGUCCAAGCCUUGUCAACUGCUGCCAGCCCCUGGAAGAGGAACUGCAGGCCUGCAGCCAUGAGAUACAGAAGACUGCAUUGGAGAGAGUCUGCAGUUCUUUCCCUGGUAGCAAAGAGGAGCUACUCCAGCUGAGAAUUGGUGUACUAGAGGAAUGCAAUUUGGAAGAUGUGCAUAUGUGAAAUAACUGCAAGAAUCCCAUGAAGCUCAACAAGGAGAAGUACAGAGUCCUACGAGUCCUGGUGGACAUGAGGUUGAACAUGAGUAAGCAAUGUGCCCACAGUAUUCUUGGCUGCAUUAGGCAAAGUAUCUCCAGCAGGUGAAGAGAGAAGCUCCUUCCUCUCUACUCAGACCUGGUGAGGCCACACCUGGAGUGCUGUGUCCAGUUCUGGGCUCCCCACUACAAGAGAGACCUAGACAUAAUGGGAAGGGUCCAAUGUAGGGCCACCAAGAUCAAUGAACUGGAGCACCUCUCCUGUGAGGAGAGGCUGAGACGGUUGGGACUAUUCAGCCUGGAGAACAGGAGGCUCAGGGGGUUCUUAGCAGUUACAAAUACCUAUGAAAAUGCUAUUUUCAGUGCUGCCCAGCAGCAGGACAAGAGGCAAUGGGCACAAACUAGAAUACAAGAGCUUCCGUCUAAACACUAGGAAGCACUUCUUUACUGUGUGGGUGAUAGAGCCCUGGCACAGGAUGCACAGGGACAGUGUGGGGUCUCCCUCCUUAAAAGAUAUUCAAAAGCUGCAUGGAUGUGGUCCUGGGCAACCUGCUCUGGGUGUCCCUGCUUAAGCAGGGAUGGGACCAGAUGGCUUCCAGAGGCCCCUCCCAAUCUUAACCAUUCUGUGAUUGUGAUCACAAGACUCAUGCCUGAGUAAGAGCAGAGGCAGGUAGAAUUUUCAUUUGCCCUCAAAUCUUUAUGGGAAUACAAAUAUUUACCUUUCAAAGAGAUGUGGCACAAUUAAGGAAUUUCAUAUUGGAUAGAACAUGAAGAUCUUGGAUGGGAGACUGCCUAAGUGUAAAGCAUUAGAUCAUUAAUGCAUAGUUCAUGCUUCUAGUUUCUGAUGACCAAUGUAUGCAAGUAUGCUUUUUCUAGAAAAGAAUCAUUUCUGAGGUAAUGGUGAACAGCUGGUAGAGAAUUUAUAUGAGUUGUACAUAAUAUACACAUUGAAGAAUUUGCAUAGAUAUUUCAUUUCCUUCUUAAAUGUCAUAAGUAGAGAUCACUGGUGGGUGAUACCACGUACAAUCCACCUUUUGUUAAGUUACAUAGAGCCACAGCACAUUGAUCACACAUACCAAAUAGAAGACUUUAGCUCAAGAAAAGGAAUAUAAUUGUAGAAUGGAUUUGCUUGCACAAAUUAAUGGGAAGAUUUCCACCAAAGCAAGAACAUAUGUCAUGGUAAUAUUGAUUUUGGUAUAGCCACCUCUUAAAAUACAGGCUUUACAGAGUCAAUAGUGCCUUGAUUUAGGUUCUAACCCAACCCAGAAGUCUCAAAUUCAGUUUUAUCCGCUUAUUAUUGAUUUGUCUGGCAUAGUGUGGGUUGUUGUUGUUGUUGUUUUUUUCCAGAAAUGCUUUUCUGCUCUCAAAUUUUAGCUAGCUCUCCCAGAAGAAUGUCUAAUACAGUCACAAAGAGCAAUUAUAUUCCUUACAAGUGAACUAUUGAUGAUCAUAAUAAAAAGGAAAGACAGAAGUCAUGUCAGUUUAGCUUCUGUCAGGACCUUAGAGUGCUCCCUCAUUCAAAAACACUUAUGUAAUCAACAAGCAACAAGUAAUAAGUUGCAAAAUAUGAGCAGCCCUUUAUUUCCUAUCAGGUAAGACAGCAACUUUGUAAAGCUGUGCUAUUUUUAAGGAAUAAAAUACCUUAUAACUAUCACCAAGACAUCAGUUCUUUGCUAUUCUACUACCAUACCUCUUUUUUUUUUCUCCCCUGCUACCUGACAUUUAAAUGCCUAUAAUUUUAGACAUCAGGACCACAUACCUGCAAAAAAUUUCACCAGCAGUGAGCUGAAAGACAUUAUUGCUGCCAUUUGUAGACAGCAGUUUCACCCAAUGUGCAUCUUCAGCACCUUCUUUGUCUUUUCUUGGGGUGGGAGGCAAGAUGAUGGAGCACAAAGAGACAGCACAGCUCCUUUAAUAAGCCUUAACAAUUUUGCUUUGAUUAAAUUUGUACAGUGAAAUUGAAAUCCUUUGGGUAGGAGUUGAUGAAUCAUAGAGGAAAUCAAGAGAGGAAAUAAAGCCAUGGUUAGAAGAGAUUAAACAAGCCAUAAAGUUUUCAAUAAAAGUAGCACUUAAGAACUAGAAAAAGACAUAUGUAUGUGAUUGUACGGGGUGAAAAUGUAUGUGUGUGCAGGAGGAAAGGGAAGGGCAAAUUUGUCUGGGGAGUAAAUCCAUUUAGGUCAUUAUGGUUCAAUAUGGCCAUGAUCCAAAAAAACACUUGAGCAUAUGUUUGAUUUUAACAUGUGACUGGCUGUCUUGAAACCUCAGCUCUGCUCACUUGUCAGGCUCAGGCUUAAGUGAUUUCAUCCUAGCUGCGCUCCUCUGCUGAAUUAUGUCAGCCCACUGCAAAGCCCAGAAGCCAACGGAAAGAUCAAAAUAGCUUUGGAUUGGGUAUAUCUAUGUGAAAAAUCCUUUUUUUCUGUACACAACACCCUCUGCUUUCCAGCAGAAGUAUGCUUACAUGGAGCUGGAGGAUGAGGAAUGGCUGUGGCAGUCAGAGGGGCUGUGACACUGGCACUCUGCGAGCUUCUAAUUUCUGCAGAACCGCACUGAUAUUAUGUGUGAGGUGGCACAGGAAAAGCCAUGCCUGUGCUUGCAAGCUGCAGGGAUGGAGUGAGGAAGGGCUGACUCAGGGCAGGCGGUGGUGCAAGGUUCCCCAAGCAGGAGGCAGAGCAUCUCCUCCUGGCUCCUGGGGCACAAGCAGGGUCUCCCAGGGGUCCCUGCGAAGACAACUGAUCCUGCACACAUUAGCUGUUGGUAACAAGGAAUGGGGUCUUUGAUUGUUCUUUCUACCCCAAGUUUUGUGGGGAUUUCUGGCCAGGGCAGAGGAAUGACUUUGGGCAAAGUCUGACCAAGACCAUGGUUCUGGACCACUAAUUUGAGCCACUUAACUUGGGAAAAGAGUGCACGUUUAAAUCUCGUGUAUUUUUCCCUAUCUUCUCAUCCCCGGGAAUCUACUUU
Long non-coding RNA from Cygnus olor (mute swan), 5445 nucleotides. RefSeq lists it as uncharacterized. NCBI's taxonomy places the organism in Eukaryota, Metazoa, Chordata, Aves, Anseriformes, Anatidae. The record is from RefSeq and is a predicted model, not a curated record. The transcript is spliced from 13 exons.